UACGGGAGGCAGCAGUGGGGAAUAUUGCACAAUGGGCGAAAGCCUGAUGCAGCUAUGCCGCGUGUAUGAAGAAGGCCUUAGGGUUGUAAAGUACUUUCAUCGGGGAGGAAAAAACAAAACUAAUAAUUUUAUUUCUUGACGUUACCCGAAAAAGAAGCACCGGCUAACUCCGUGCCAGCAGCCGCGGUAAUACGGAGGGUGCUAGCGUUAAUCAGAAUUACUGGGCGUAAGGAGCACGUAGGUGGUUUUUUUAAGUCAGAUGUGAAAUCCCUGGGCUUAACCUGGAACUGCAUUUUGAAACUGAAAUACUAGAGUAUCGUAGAGGGAGGUAGAAUUCUAGGUGUAGCGGUGAAAUGCGUAGAUAUCUGGAGGAAUACCUGUGGCGAAAGCGGCCUCCUAAACGAAUACUGACACUGAGGUGCGAAAGCGUGGGGAGCAAACAGGGAUUAGAUACC
Molecule: ribosomal RNA, 455 nt
Filed under: uncultured bacterium
Lineage: Bacteria
Description: bacterial SSU rRNA
Rfam family: Bacterial small subunit ribosomal RNA
Source: RNAcentral